UACGUAGGGUCCGAGCGUUGUCCGGAUUUAUUGGGCGUAAAGAGCUCGUAGGCGGUUCCGUAAGUCAGAUGUGAAAACUCAGGGCUCAACCCGGAGACGCCAUCUGAUACUGCGGUGACUGGAGUCUGGAAGGGGAACACGGAAUUCCUGGUGUAGCGGUGAAAUGCGCAGAUAUCAGGAGGAACACCGGUGGCGAAGGCGGGUCUCUGGGCCGAUACUGACGCUGAGGAGCGAAAGCGUGGGGAGCGAACAGG
RNAcentral lists this ribosomal RNA (254 nucleotides) under uncultured bacterium. Its description in RNAcentral is "partial 16S ribosomal RNA". It matches the Rfam family "Bacterial small subunit ribosomal RNA", at positions 524 to 776 of the family's 1533-position model. The record is from RNAcentral.